Molecule: non-coding RNA, 122 nt
Organism: Gossypium raimondii (Peruvian cotton)
Lineage: Eukaryota; Viridiplantae; Streptophyta; Magnoliopsida; Malvales; Malvaceae
Source: Rfam
AAUGGGAGAAUAACUAUCAGAUUUUUGCUCCUGAUUUUCAGCUUUUUUCUCCUGAAAAAAUUCAAAUCCAACUAAAAGUGCUAAAAAUCAGGAGUAAAAAUAUGAUUUGUCAUUCUUGCAUU